UAACAGGAUUCCCCUAGUAACUGCGAGUGAAGCGGGAAGAGCUCAAAUUUAAAAUCUGGCGUGCCUUUGGUCGUCCGAGUUGUAGUCUGGAGAAGCGUUUUCCGUGUUGGACCGUGUAUAAGUCUCUUGGAACAGGGCGUCAUAGAGGGUGAGAAUCCCGUCUUUGACACGGACUACCAAUGCUUUGUGAUGCGCUCUCAAAGAGUCGAGUUGUUUGGGAAUGCAGCUCAAAAUGGGUGGUAAAUUCCAUCUAAAGCUAAAUAUAGGCGAGAGACCGAUAGCGAACAAGUACCGUGAGGGAAAGAUGAAAAGCACUUUGGAAAGAGAGUUAAACAGUACGUGAAAUUGCUGAAAGGGAAACGCUUGAAGUCAGUCGCGUCUGCCAGGACUCAGCCUUGCUUUUGCUUGGUGCACUUUCUGGUCGGAUGGGCCAACAUCAAUUUUGACCGUUGGAGAAAGGCUUUGGGAAUGUGGCACCUUCGGGUGUGUUAUAGCCCUCGGUCGUAUACGACGGUUGGGAUUGAGGAUCGCAGCACGCCUUUAUGGCCGGGGUUCGCCCACGUACGUGCUUAGGAUGUUGGCAUAAUGGCUUUAAGCGACC
Molecule: ribosomal RNA, 601 nt
Filed under: uncultured Tomentella
Lineage: Eukaryota; Fungi; Basidiomycota; Agaricomycetes; Thelephorales; Thelephoraceae
Description: eukaryotic LSU rRNA
Rfam family: Eukaryotic large subunit ribosomal RNA
Source: RNAcentral